RNAcentral lists this ribosomal RNA (1053 nucleotides) under Triticum aestivum (bread wheat). Its description in RNAcentral is "partial small subunit ribosomal RNA". Lineage: Eukaryota; Viridiplantae; Streptophyta; Magnoliopsida; Poales; Poaceae. The record is from RNAcentral.
AUGUCGAAUGAACGGACGAUCGAGCAUGCACACCAGCGCCGGCCGGGGGAACGUUACCGCGAGCUCGCCGGCUGUGGCGAUGUUGACCUGCGCGUGGGGCCUCGUGGCGCCGAGGAGCGCGGUGAACUGGCUGGCCGUGACGAGCAAGAGGCAGUACAUUAUGAACUUGCGGUACCGGUGGCUGAUCCGCCGGAGCUGGUCACGGAUUCGGCGGUGCUGCCCCAGCACGGCGGCCACGUCGGCGCACUGGCCGAAGUCCCGCGCGAAGCCCGUCAUGCGCAGGAUCUGCAGGUAGCAUAUGAUCCGGAACAGCACGCAGGCCAUGAAGAACAUGGCCGUGCGGUACAUCCACGACGCCAUCUCCAUGGCGCACGCGGCGGCGGACCACCACGCCGGGAAGGGCCGGUGCGCGCAGUACCAGAACACCUUGUAGGCGGCGUCGGCGAGGAAGCAGGGCAGGACGAAGCAGGCGAGGAGGUGGAAGGACCCCGCGAGCUGCACGGUGUAGCCGGCGCGCACGUCCUGGGAGUCGUGGCGGAGGCGGUCCAGGUAGAGCAGCCGGCGCAGGCCGCGGCGGCGGAUGAGCGAGGUGAGCGUGAGGUAGGCGAGCGCCGCGGAGAGCGUGAGGGAGAGCUGCACCUGCGUGUCGUAGGCGCGGCGCGGCAUGGCGACGCGCGCGGCCACGGGGACGGCCACGGCGAGGACGAAGAAGACGAGCCACGAGGCCGCGGCGCUGGAGCCGUCCGAGUGGUCGACGCACAUCCAGCGGAGGCAGGAGCGGAAGCUGCGGAGCUCGUCGCGCGCGUGCGACAUGCAGCGCUGGUACGAGCCCCUCCGCCGCAGCAGCAGCGGCGCCGACGCGGGCGAGGGCUCCUCGCCCGCCGUCGGCGACGGCGGCGCGUCCCCGGCCAUGCCCUGCGCCUUUCCCGGCCGCCGUGCCCCAACGUUCUCGGCCCCUUGUCUUGGCGAUCGUAUCCUUCGCGCGCGGCUUCCGUUUUACCGGCCGUCCUGGUGUUUAGGAGGGGUAAUAAUAAUGCUGUAUCGAGGCAUUGA